RNAcentral lists this non-coding RNA (29 nucleotides) under Mus musculus (house mouse). Lineage: Eukaryota; Metazoa; Chordata; Mammalia; Rodentia; Muridae. The record is from RNAcentral.
UNUGAUGAGGUGGCCUGUAUCCCCACAGC